RNAcentral lists this ribosomal RNA (429 nucleotides) under Gemmatimonadota bacterium. Its description in RNAcentral is "Gemmatimonadetes bacterium partial 16S ribosomal RNA". It matches the Rfam family "Bacterial small subunit ribosomal RNA", at positions 355 to 776 of the family's 1533-position model. The record is from RNAcentral. Lineage: Bacteria; Pseudomonadati; Gemmatimonadota.
UAGGGAAUCUUCGGCAAUGGACGAAAGUCUGACCGAGCAACGCCGCGUGAGUGAAGAAGGUUUUCGGAUCGUAAAACUCUGUUGUUAGAGAAGAACAAGGACGUUAGUAACUGAACGUCCCCUGAUGGUAUCUAAUCAGAAAGCCACGGCUAACUACGUGCCAGCAGCCGCGGUAAUACGUAGGUGGCAAGCGUUGUCCGGAUUUAUUGGGCGUAAAGCGAGCGCAGGCGGUUUCUUAAGAUUGAUGUGAAAGCCCCCGGCUCAACCGGGGAGGGUCGUUGGAAAAUGGGAGACUUGAGUGCAGAAAAGGAGAGUGGAAUUCCAUGUGUAGCGGUGAAAUGCGUAGAUAUAUGGAGGAACACCAGUGGCGAAGGCGGCUCUCUGGUCUGUAACAGACGCUGAGGCUCGAAAGCGUGGGGAGCAAACAGG